RNAcentral lists this ribosomal RNA (494 nucleotides) under uncultured bacterium. RNAcentral describes it as "partial 16S ribosomal RNA". It matches the Rfam family "Bacterial small subunit ribosomal RNA", at positions 30 to 507 of the family's 1533-position model. The record is from RNAcentral.
AUUGAACGCUGGCGGCAUGCUUUACACAUGCAAGUCGAACGGCAGCGGGGAGGAGCUUGCUUCUCUGCCGGCGAGUGGCGAACGGGUGAGUAAUACAUCGGAACGUGUCGAGAAGAGGGGGAUAACCACCCGAAAGGGUGGCUAAUACCGCAUAAAUUCUGAGGAAGAAAGCUGGGGACCUAGGAAUAGGCCUAGCGCUUUUUGAGCGGCCGAUGUCGGAUUAGCUAGUUGGUGAGGUAAAGGCUCACCAAGGCGAAGAUCUGUAGCGGGUCUGAGAGGUUGAUCCGCCACACUGGGACUGAGACACGGCCCAGACUCCUACGGGAGGCAGCAGUGGGGAAUUUUGGACAAUGGGGGCAACCCUGAUCCAGCCAUGCCGCGUGUAUGAAGAAGGCCUUAGGGUUGUAAAGUACUUUUGUUAGGGAAGAAAAGGCAGCUGUGAAUAAUGGCUGAUACUGACGGUACCUAAAGAAUAAGCACCGGCUAACUACGUG